UCCUGUGAGCCCCGGGGGUUAAAUUGCCCCGGGUCCCGUCACUUGGGGCUUUGGCACUGUCCAGGCCCGGUACUCCUGGGGUUUGCCAUUUGAUUGAGGACAGCGAAAAUCCAGUGUCAGAGCCUGACUCCUCUCCUCUCCAGGGCCUCCACCCAUCCAGUUUUGGGGGGCGCUUUAAUGGCCCCGGCCAUGGCGGUGUGGAUCCAGGCGCAGCAGCUCCAGGGCUACACCCUCCACCGGAUGCAGGCUCUGUACUGCCAGCACUUCUCCCGGGCACUACCUGGCACCUGAAACGAGAGCCAGGCCUGGGAGUAGGUAGAUGUGGACAACAGACAGGAGCGGGGAAAAGCCAGCCAGCUCCUGGAGGGUUUGGUCCAGGAGCUGCAGAAGAAAGCUGAGCACCAAGUGGGCUCCACUCCACCUUGCCCACUGUCCCAGUUGACCCUGGGGUACCGACCGUCUCAAGGUCAAAUGCUAUCUCGUGACCUCCUGAGCCA
This is a long non-coding RNA of Ornithorhynchus anatinus (platypus), 497 nucleotides long. RefSeq lists it as uncharacterized. The record is from RefSeq and is a predicted model, not a curated record. Lineage: Eukaryota; Metazoa; Chordata; Mammalia; Monotremata; Ornithorhynchidae. The transcript has 3 exons.